This 90-nucleotide transfer RNA is filed under the name Winogradskya consettensis. RNAcentral's name for it is "Actinoplanes consettensis tRNA-Pro". The record is from RNAcentral. Lineage: Bacteria; Bacillati; Actinomycetota; Actinomycetes; Micromonosporales; Micromonosporaceae.
GGCCGUGACCGCGUCGGCCGUACGCGCCAGGAGGCCCGGGUCCACCUCGGCGAGGUCCGUGACGGUCGGUUCGAGGCCGAUCUCGGCCGC